RNAcentral lists this ribosomal RNA (63 nucleotides) under Cladosporium pseudocladosporioides. RNAcentral describes it as "partial 28S ribosomal RNA". Lineage: Eukaryota; Fungi; Ascomycota; Dothideomycetes; Cladosporiales; Cladosporiaceae. The record is from RNAcentral.
GUUGACCUCGGAUCAGGUAGGGAUACCCGCUGAACUUAAGCAUAUCAAUAGGCCCGGAGGGAA